AGAGUUUGAUCCUGGCCCAGGAUGAACGCUAGCUACAGGCUUAACACAUGCAAGUCGAGGGGCAGCAUGAUCAAAGCUUGCUUUGAUUGAUGGCGACCGGCGCACGGGUGAGUAACGCGUAUCCAACCUUCCCCUUAGUAGGGCAUAGCCCGUAGAAAUGCGGAUUAAUACCCUAUGUUAUUCGUCGAGGACAUCUGAAAUGAAUUAAAGGUUUACCGCUAAGGGAUGGGGAUGCGUCCGAUUAGGCAGCAGGCGGGGUAACGGCCCACCUGGCCAACGAUCGGUAGGGGUUCUGAGAGGAAGGUCCCCCACAUUGGAACUGAGACACGGUCCAAACUCCUACGGGAGGCAGCAGUGAGGAAUAUUGGUCAAUGGGCGAGAGCCUGAACCAGCCAAGUAGCGUGCAGGAUGACGGCCCUAUGGGUUGUAAACUGCUUUUAUGCGGGGAUAAAGUCACCCACGUGUGGGUGUUUGUAGGUACCGCAUGAAUAAGGACCGGCUAAUUCCGUGCCAGCCGCAGC
This 521-nucleotide ribosomal RNA is filed under the name uncultured bacterium. RNAcentral's name for it is "bacterial SSU rRNA". It matches the Rfam family "Bacterial small subunit ribosomal RNA", at positions 8 to 518 of the family's 1533-position model. The record is from RNAcentral.